Molecule: non-coding RNA, 496 nt
Organism: Cinara cedri
Lineage: Eukaryota; Metazoa; Arthropoda; Insecta; Hemiptera; Aphididae
Source: the annotation of a GenBank genome assembly
CCCAAAUUCAGAUUUCAAUGUAGUAUUGCGCAUUCGACAUUACUAUACUAGUGACAUAAACCUGCACAUAAUCAUGUAAUCAUUAUGGUUACAAUAUAGUUUUACUGACGAAGUCAUAACGGUUAUACGGGACACAUUCGGAAGUAAUAGGCAGUAUACAAUUAUAGAAUAUUAAAUUACACCAAUUAUGCGCGUUUCAAAAGCUGCAACCGUAUGUAAUGCCCCUGACCCUAAUACGAUAAUAAUUGAUAAGUAAACCGAUUGGCAUGAGUGAUGCACAGAAUCGUCGUCAUACGAUAUUAAUAGGGUUAGGAUUUGGUAGGUUAUGUUUUUUUUUUUUUUUAUGAUUUGGAUUUACGAUAGAAUUGCCAAUCCGAAUUCGUUUUAUACAAUUAUACCGGGGUUAUUUUGUUGUUGUGCACAAAAUCCCUUUUUCGAAGAAAUCUGUAAUUGUUAUUAUAUUUAACAGAAAGGGAUCAAUUUUGUUUUUCCAUUC